CUCCUCUCAGAACCAAGAACAUCAUACAACUUGUAAAUCUAUCUGAUCUGCCCUGAGAAACAAUUAUCCCCUUCCUUCUUUUGGCUGGGGCUAAUAGUAGAUGUUAGUGUUAAAUGUACGCUAACAGAUGAAAUUAAAAUGAAGAUUGAGUCAAUUGUUUGGGACAAGGGAAAAAGAAGUGAAGCUCUGCAAGUUGAUUAACAGAUUCCAGGGAACUGCGUGCAAUCAAUGAAGCAAAAUAGCAGCUGUGAUAGAAACGUGGUAUUUUAGGGUUGCUCAAUGUUAAAUGCAAGAGUGACAGCCACAUUGCUGCUGAGGAUGACUCAUAUCUGCUCUUCUAUCAGAUGCUCUCCCUAAUGCUGAUGAGAGCCACAAGAUGCUUAUGCCAUAAAUCCACAGAGGGAAUGAAUGCUAUCUGCAAAAUCAGAGAUGAGAUGAGAAGGUGCAAGAUGAAAAUGCUCAUUCACAGAAUUUGGCCUGCUGUUCUUCAUUAACUUCACAUAGAAACACCUCUUCUCAGCCUAUCUGUGCUUACCUGGAGCUGAUUAUCAAAUCAGAACCGGAACCUACACAGCAUGUGGUGUAACACAUCAUAACAGCUAUAAAUUAUCAACAAAACUGAUGUUGAACCACGAAGAACAGUGAAUGUGGACCUACUUUAAAAAUGGAUGUCCACGUCAUUUAUAAGUUGAGGACAAGUUCACUUGAAAGCAGUUAUCUCCAUCGGUGCACCAGUUCUUGUCUCUUGUUCUUAUCUGUUUCUUUUUCUUUUGAAAGAAGCACUCCAUGGAUUUGUGGGAAUACUAGCAGUAAAAUCUUGCUAAUCUUUUGUUGACUUUGAAGUUCAUGUGGGAAUCCAGGAUUACACCAUCUCCCCAAAAAUGAUACUUCUGAAGAUACAAGGAAAUGAUAUAGAUUUUAGGUUUUGGCUCUUGCUCAAUUAAAAAAAUGGAAAACUCUACAAACUGUUCUUUUGCAACAAAUCUGUUUUCGCUGUCAAAAUACAAGAGCAAAAACAUUCUUGCCCUGAGGAGAACACAUGACAAUAUGGGAACUUCCAUCCAAAAUUACCCCAUUUAUACACCGCGGAGCUGUAAUCCUGAUGUGUAAGUGCUGAUAUUCAGAAAUACUACUCCUUCAUGUAUUCAAGAGUAAAACUGUGCACUCCCACAGCUUGCUUCUCUCUUUCUUUCCCUUCCCACCCUUCUCACAGCAUGAAAGCAACUCUGGAGAGCGCAUCACUGUCAAGUUCUAAGAGCAACCUCAAACAAGAGGCCAAAACAUAUUGUCACAUCUGCUAUAUCUUUUUUAAAAAAAAUUAUUUAAACAGUAACUCGUGGCAUAUUUGUCUCUCCUCAGAGAUUCUUGUACUUUUUAUAACAUAUUGCUCAGUCAAGUCAUAACUUUUGUGUUUAAAGAUGACAGAACACUCAUCUUGUCCACUUGAUAGAUGAAAAGCAAUGUGUUACUUUUCUAACAAACUUCCCUUUAUGUGUUUGAACUCACCUUCAGUUAAAUGAUAUUAAGUCUGGUAAAAGAGAGAAGCAAAUGCUAUUAGUUGAUCACUUAACUUGUAAUAAAGAGAAAAAUUAUUGCCUUGCAAACAAUAAUUCUCCACUUUUCUGUACUGAAGAGAUACUGCUCUGUGAAGAAUCAUUCUUGUCUAAAUAAAAUGACCUUUAUUGAUUUAAUUUAAAACUCUUUAUUGUCUCAGCUAAAGUGGAUCGAAUGGAACUGUUACAGCUCAGAGUUUAUCACAUCAUCAGAGCAUUAAUUUCCUAGCUGACUGCAUCUUGGUAUUACAAUAAAAAAUUAGUUUCAGAAGUUUUAUGAAGAAUGAACUUUAGUAGGACCAUUGAGAAAAGGCUUUCUUCCAUCACAGAAUCUCUAAAUGUAUACACCAUUUUUUCCAAAGAAGAAUACAUCUCUAAAAGUUGCAACCGUGGUACAUGUCUAACCACUGACAUCUGUGUUAGCUAUUAAAUGAGAAUACUUUUCCUUUAGUAGAACAUCUUGAGCUGUUGUAAAUCCGAUGCAGAUAAAAUUCCCAAGAAACUGGACUACAACAUCUGUGCUCUCCUGUGGAUUAUGAUUUAUAUAAUAUUUUGGAAGGCACAUGCAGAGAGACACAGAAUUCUUUUGUAUAUUUCAUUGUUUUGUUUUGUCUAUUGUUGUCUCUGAUUUUCUCAGUAGUGUUUGUAAGAUAAAGCAAAUCUUAGUGUAGGUAAGUAGUGUUCACUGCUGCUCUCUGAUGGUAAGCUUGACUGUUGAUUGGUGAAAAUAAACUUUAAGCUAUGCAUCCA
Molecule: long non-coding RNA, 2303 nt
Filed under: Gallus gallus (chicken)
Lineage: Eukaryota; Metazoa; Chordata; Aves; Galliformes; Phasianidae
Description: lncRNA (ENSGALG00010015489.1)
Source: RNAcentral